CAUGCCGUAAACGUUGGGAACUAGGUGUGGGGUCCAUUCCACGGGUCCUGUGCCGGAGCUAACGCAUUAAGUUCCCCGCCUGGGGAGUACGGCCGCAAGGCUAAAACUCAAAGGAAUUGACGGGGGCCCGCACAAGCGGCGGAGCAUGCGGAUUAAUUCGAUGCAACGCGAAGAACCUUACCAAGGCUUGACAUGGAUCCGAUUCUGGUAGAGAUAUCAGUUCCGUAAGGCGGGUUCACAGGUGG
RNAcentral lists this ribosomal RNA (245 nucleotides) under uncultured Microbacteriaceae bacterium. RNAcentral describes it as "partial 16S ribosomal RNA". It matches the Rfam family "Bacterial small subunit ribosomal RNA", at positions 796 to 1041 of the family's 1533-position model. Lineage: Bacteria; Bacillati; Actinomycetota; Actinomycetes; Micrococcales; Microbacteriaceae. The record is from RNAcentral.